GACGGUCUAGUUCAAAUGGUAGAGCACAUGCCUAGCACGCACAAGGUCCUGGGUUCAAUUCCCAGUGCCUCCU
Transfer RNA from Camelus ferus (Wild Bactrian camel), 73 nucleotides. It matches the Rfam family "tRNA". Rfam says of the family: Transfer RNA (tRNA) molecules are approximately 80 nucleotides in length. NCBI's taxonomy places the organism in Eukaryota, Metazoa, Chordata, Mammalia, Artiodactyla, Camelidae. The record is from Rfam.